Cyprinus carpio (common carp) is the source of this 744-nucleotide long non-coding RNA. Lineage: Eukaryota; Metazoa; Chordata; Actinopteri; Cypriniformes; Cyprinidae. The record is from Ensembl.
AUCUUUCUCAUCAGGAGAAUCUCCACUGGUCUCAUCUGUGUCUCCUAUAACAGGCUCUUCUCUGAUCAUCAGUGUGUCUGUGCUUCUGCUUCUGAUCUUCACUGUGAUUCUGAUAGUGAUCAUCACUCUCUGGAGGAGACGGCAGUUGCACAACGCUCAUUCCUCAUUCAAAAGAUCUCAAAGGACACCAGCAAACAUUGACGCGGCUUCUCAUUAUCAUUGUGAUUACGAGGAGACUGAAUACAAUCACAGACAAUUACCCACAAACCCCUCUGAUUCUACUAAUGCAAUCUAUGCUAAUCCAGAAUUACCCACAAACCCCUCUGAUUCUACUAAUACCAUCUAUGCUACUCCACAAUUACCCAUAAACCCUUCUGAUUCUACUAAUACAAUCUAUGCUAAUCCAGAAUUUCCAUAAACCCCUCUGAUUCUUCCAACAGCGUUCACACUUUAACAUCGCAGAAGUCCACGUCUUUCAGUCAUUAUCAUCCACUGAGGGUCUGAAUGACACAGACGGUCUUAAUGAUGUUCCUUCAACAAUUAUCUGUCUUUACAUUAAUGUCUGUCAUUGCAUGCAGCUGUGUGACUACAGUAAAUAUAUGUUAGCGAUCUGCUGUUUUUAAUUUAUUUGCUCAGUAAACACAACCAUUGCACCUGCUGAAGGGAUUUAUGUAAUUUUCUCAAUAUGUUUAAAACAUGGCAUGUAUUUGUGAACAAAAUAAAAGAUGACUGUUCUUUAUGACA